GCGGGUGUAGUUUAGUGGUAAAAUGUCUGCCUUCCAAGCAGAAGUCGGGGUUUCGAUUACCCCCACCCGCACCA
This 74-nucleotide transfer RNA is filed under the name bacterium. RNAcentral describes it as "tRNA-Gly". It matches the Rfam family "tRNA". From Rfam's summary of the family: Transfer RNA (tRNA) molecules are approximately 80 nucleotides in length. Their secondary structure includes four short double-helical elements and three loops (D, anti-codon, and T loops). The record is from RNAcentral.